RNAcentral lists this ribosomal RNA (318 nucleotides) under Triticum aestivum (bread wheat). RNAcentral's name for it is "partial small subunit ribosomal RNA". The record is from RNAcentral. Lineage: Eukaryota; Viridiplantae; Streptophyta; Magnoliopsida; Poales; Poaceae.
AAUUACGUCCUGGAAGCACCGCUAGGUGCCAGGCCUGCUGCAGGUGCUGCUGAUGACGUUAAGAACUUCUGGCAGAGUAAAGCUGAUGACUACUCGAUAGUUCAAUGUGCCAUGCUUUACGGCUUAGAACCGGGACUUCAACGAUGUUUUGAACGUCAUGGAGCAUAUGAGAUGUUCCAGGAGUUGAAGUUAAUAUUUCAAGAAAAUGCCCGGAUUGAGAGAUAUGAAGUCUCCAAUAAGUUCUAUAGCUGCAAAAUGGAGGAGAAUAGUUCUGUCAGUGAACAUAUACUCAGAAUGUCUGGGUACCACAACCACUUG